GUAGGAGGCGUAGGCUCAGCCAACAGAAAAAAAUACAAGGCGUGUGUAUAGCCUAGAAAAUGAUGACGAUGUAACGGAAACUUUUUAAUUAAAAUUCGAAAAAUUAAUUAAAUAUUUUUGUGACGCCCGAGCAAGAGUCAGAGUCAGAGCGAAAGCGAGAGCCCAAGCGCUGACGAUGACGACUUUGAGAUUAAAUUUCCAACCUACCUACGAAAUGCAAACCCACUGCUAAAGACAGUGAGACUGACUGUCGAAAAGUUUGCUUGGCAAAAUACGAACACAAAAAAGAAGGAAAACAGCAACAAGUACAAUAGCAACAACGACAAGUUGAUGAAACAACACUAACAACAAGUUUUUGGUAAGGCAGUUGGAGAAGGCAACAAUAUCAAGUGCAAAAUGAGAAAAUUCACUUGCUCUAGUCAAACAACAACAAAAACUGUGUGAAAACGCCGUUGCUGGAAGGUCGUUAGAUGGGGGAAAAGGUGGAAGGUUGUAAGCUUUUUGAGGGUAGAAUGAAGAAAAACUCGACUCGACUCGACUUCACUCGUCUCGCUUUGCAGAUAGAAAAACAAAAGAAAGUUUGCCAGCAGAAAAACCAAAAAAAAAGUGAAUGUAGUACAAAUGCCAAAAUGAGAAAGGAGCCAACAAGCGAAAGAUGAGCAAGAGAAGAAGCUACGAAUAACACAACAAAAAAAAAACAGUUAAUGAUGCACAACUGAUAAGCCAAAAAGAUGACACACAGCCGCAACUACAAGUGCAACUGCAACUGCAGAAGGAAAAAAGAAGAAGCCACUUCAACUUCCCCCAGCUCAAUUGCCAACUAACGACUGUGAAAACCAGUUGCAAGUAGGCUGAAUCUGUGUGAGUUUGUGUGUGGCAGGUAAACCUGGCUAUGUAAAUUUUAAAUUUAGGUUAUCAGAUGGCGGAUGAUGCAGAACACUGCAAUGAGAAUGCCAGAGAUAAUGGCAACUAUCGUGAAUGUGAAAGAUGAAGAAAAAAUUCCGAGUGCAAACCACUCGAAAGCCAAAAGAAAAAUCUGUGAAAGUUGCAGAGGAAAAACAAUUGAGAAGCGCGCAAUUUGCAUGUGAAAAACAUAAUUAUGGUCAAUGCAAACUGAUGUUAAACCCCUCCGCAUUGAACCCGUUCAAACAUCAUCAACAACAAGUAGCAAAUGAGAAAAAGGGUGAAAUUAAAGCCAUGACCCAAAGUUCUAUCCGACUUAAUGUUGCCAAUCAAUCAUUCGCUCACUUGAUGGGCUACAAAUUACUACAAAAAAAAGGGAAAAUGGGGAAAAAUGCGAACAACUGCAAAUGGCAAAAGUUACGAGACAAGGGCAAAAAACUUAGUCGCAUAUGUGAUGCUUCCUCUACUUCCGAUAAUGAAUUAUAUGGCUGUGCGAAAAGCAAGAAAAAAGGAAAAUAAAUACGAACAAGUAAGAAAGCAAAAGUCGAGUAUGAUUUGCUGUGCGAUACCCGCUAUCCAUUGUGAAUAAAAGCAAAACAGAGCGGUAUUAAUUUUAAAAUAUUCCAAAUUAAUA
Molecule: long non-coding RNA, 1537 nt
Organism: Drosophila nasuta
Lineage: Eukaryota; Metazoa; Arthropoda; Insecta; Diptera; Drosophilidae
Exons: 2
Source: RefSeq, a predicted model, not a curated record